GACGAACGCUGGCGGCGUGCUUAACACAUGCAAGUCGAACGAAGUGGCGAACGGGUGAGUAACGCGUAAUCAACCUGCCCUUCAGAGGGGGACAACAGUUGGAAACGACUGCUAAUACCGCAUACUGAAGGAGGGGAUUGCGUUUGAUUGGCUAGUUGGAGGGGUAACGGCCCACCAAGGCGAUGAUCAGUAGCCGGUGUUGGAGGAUGAACGGCCACCAUGGGACUGAGACAAGGCCCAGACUACUACGGGAGGCAGCAGGGGGGAAUCUUCGGAAAUGGACGAAAGUCUGACGGAGCAACGCCGGGGGAGUGAUGACGGCCUUCGGGUUGGAAAGCUCUGUUAAGCGGGACGCGGUACCGGAAUAGAAAGCCACGGCUAACUACGUGCCAGCCGCCGCGGUAAUUC
This 408-nucleotide ribosomal RNA is filed under the name uncultured bacterium. Its description in RNAcentral is "partial 16S ribosomal RNA". It matches the Rfam family "Bacterial small subunit ribosomal RNA", at positions 28 to 526 of the family's 1533-position model. The record is from RNAcentral.